GAAAAAUGAUACAAGAACUGCUAAUUCCUGUCCCUGAAGCUAAACCCUCAGAUUUUUCA
RNAcentral lists this transfer RNA (59 nucleotides) under Gerrhonotus sp. 2 CPV-2018. RNAcentral describes it as "tRNA-Ser". The record is from RNAcentral. Lineage: Eukaryota; Metazoa; Chordata; Lepidosauria; Squamata; Anguidae.